GCAGCUGUAGCUCAGUCGGUUAGAGCGCCUGAUUGUGGAUCAGGAGGUCGGUGGUUCAAUUCCUCCCAGCUGUACCA
RNAcentral lists this transfer RNA (77 nucleotides) under Hyphomicrobiales bacterium. Its description in RNAcentral is "tRNA-His". It matches the Rfam family "tRNA". Rfam says of the family: Transfer RNA (tRNA) molecules are approximately 80 nucleotides in length. Lineage: Bacteria; Pseudomonadati; Pseudomonadota; Alphaproteobacteria; Hyphomicrobiales. The record is from RNAcentral. RNAcentral also lists the same sequence under 2 other names.